UACGGAAGGCAGUAGUGGGGAAUAUUGCACAAUGGGCGAAAGCCUGAUGCAGCUAUGCCGCGUGUAUGAAGAAGGCCUUAGGGUUGUAAAGUACUUUCAUCGGGGAGGAAAAAACAAAACUAAUAAUUUAUUCUUGACGUUACCCGAAAAAGAAGCACCGGCUAACUCCGUGCCAGCAGCCGCGGUAAUACGGAGGGUGCUAGCGUUAAUCAGAAUUACUGGGCGUAAAGAGCACGUAGGUGGUUUUUUUAAAGUCAGAUGUGAAAUCCCUGGGCUUAACCUAGGAACUGCAUUUUGAAACUGAAAUACUAGAGUAUCGUAGAGGGAGGUAGAAUUCUAGGUGUAGCGGUGAAAUGCGUAGAUAUCUGGAGGAAUACCUGUGGCGAAAGCGGCCUCCUAAACGAAUGCUGACACUGAGGGUGCGAAAGCGUGGGGAGCAAACAGGGAUUAGAUACC
Molecule: ribosomal RNA, 456 nt
Filed under: uncultured bacterium
Lineage: Bacteria
Description: bacterial SSU rRNA
Rfam family: Bacterial small subunit ribosomal RNA
Source: RNAcentral